This 496-nucleotide ribosomal RNA is filed under the name uncultured bacterium. Its description in RNAcentral is "partial 16S ribosomal RNA". It matches the Rfam family "Bacterial small subunit ribosomal RNA", at positions 28 to 506 of the family's 1533-position model. The record is from RNAcentral.
GAUGAACGCUGGCGGCGUGCCUAAUACAUGCAAGUCGAGCGAACAGACGAGGAGCUUGCUCCUUCGACGUUAGCGGCGGACGGGUGAGUAACACGUAGGUAACCUACCUAUAAGACUGGGAUAACUUCGGGAAACCGGAGCUAAUACCGGAUAAUAUUUCGAACCGCAUGGUUCGAUAGUGAAAGAUGGCUUUGCUAUCACUUAUAGAUGGACCUGCGCCGUAUUAGCUAGUUGGUAAGGUAACGGCUUACCAAGGCAACGAUACGUAGCCGACCUGAGAGGGUGAUCGGCCACACUGGAACUGAGACACGGUCCAGACUCCUACGGGAGGCAGCAGUAGGGAAUCUUCCGCAAUGGGCGAAAGCCUGACGGAGCAACGCCGCGGGAGUGAUGAAGGUCUUCGGAUCGUAAAACUCUGUUAUUAGGGAAGAACAAACGUGUAAGUAACUGUGCACGUCUGGACGGUACCUAAUCAGAAAGCCACGGCGAACUACGU